CUGAUGCGGCUGUCCGCCGGCUCCGACGGCGCGCUCAGCCUCGUGCUGCCGCAGCACGGCCUGCACCUGCGCUUCCGCAACGCCACGCUCCUCGUCACGGCGAGCAUGGGCACUCGUGGUCGACUGUGCGGCAUCUGUGGCAACAACGACGGCGAGUACGUGGGAGAUCUGACCAACCCGCGCGGCAACCAGGAGAAGACGGCCACCAGCUUCGCUGCGUCCUACAAGCUGUAGUCUGAGCCUGACCUCUUAGCAUUUCCUCUUUUGUACACUUUAUUCACGAUUUACUGUAUCACUUACAUCCACUGAAUUUAAAGAACAGUGAGUAAUAAAAUGACAAUAAAAGAUUAA
Schistocerca nitens (vagrant locust) is the source of this 351-nucleotide long non-coding RNA. RefSeq lists it as uncharacterized. NCBI's taxonomy places the organism in Eukaryota, Metazoa, Arthropoda, Insecta, Orthoptera, Acrididae. The record is from RefSeq and is a predicted model, not a curated record. The transcript is spliced from 2 exons.